RNAcentral lists this unclassified non-coding RNA (43 nucleotides) under Sorangium cellulosum So ce56. RNAcentral's name for it is "sce_s2m_49". The record is from RNAcentral. Lineage: Bacteria; Pseudomonadati; Myxococcota; Polyangiales; Polyangiaceae.
CCGCACCCGCCUACGGAAGAUCCCCAGCGCACAUCGCGUAGUA